GACGAACGCUGGCGGCGUGCUUAACACAUGCAAGUCGAACGGAAAGGCCCAGCUUGCUGGGUGCUCGAGUGGCGAACGGGUGAGUAACACGUGGGUGAUCUGCCCCUAACUUCGGGAUAAGCUUGGGAAACUGGGUCUAAUACCGGAUAGGACAAUCGUUUAGUGUCGGUUGUGGAAAGUUUUUUCGGUUAGGGAUGAGCCCACGGCCUAUCAGCUUGUUGGUGGGGUAAUGGCCUACCAAGGCGUCGACGGGUAGCCGGCCUGAGAGGGUGGACGGCCACAUUGGGACUGAGAUACGGCCCAGACUCCUACGGGAGGCAGCAGUGGGGAAUAUUGCACAAUGGGCGCAAGCCUGAUGCAGCGACGCCGCGUGGGGGAUGACGGCCUUCGGGUUGUAAACCUCUUUCGACAGGGACGAAGCUUUGGUGACGGUACCUGUAGAAGAAGCACCGGCUAACUACGUG
Molecule: ribosomal RNA, 464 nt
Filed under: uncultured bacterium
Lineage: Bacteria
Description: partial 16S ribosomal RNA
Rfam family: Bacterial small subunit ribosomal RNA
Source: RNAcentral